UAGGGAAUCUUCCGCAAUGGACGCAAGUCUGACGGAGCAACGCCGCGUGAGUGAAGAAGGAUUUCGGUUCGUAAAACUCUGUUGUUAGAGAAGAACAGCGCAUAGAGUAACUGUUAUGCUUGUGACGGUAUCUAACCAGAAAGCCACGGCUAACUACGUGCCAGCAGCCGCGGUAAUACGUAGGUGGCAAGCGUUGUCCGGAUUUAUUGGGCGUAAAGCGAGCGCAGGCGGUCAAUUAAGUCUGAUGUGAAAGCCCCCGGCUCAACCGGGGAGGGUCAUUGGAAACUGGUUGACUUGAGUGCAGAAGAGGAGAGUGGAAUUCCAUGUGUAGCGGUGAAAUGCGUAGAUAUAUGGAGGAACACCAGUGGCGAAGGCGACUCUCUGGUCUGUAACAGACGCUGAGGCUCGAAAGCGUGGGUAGCAAACAGG
Molecule: ribosomal RNA, 429 nt
Filed under: Bacteroidota bacterium
Lineage: Bacteria; Pseudomonadati; Bacteroidota
Description: Bacteroidetes bacterium partial 16S ribosomal RNA
Rfam family: Bacterial small subunit ribosomal RNA
Source: RNAcentral